UACGAAAGGUCCAAGCGUUACUCGGAAUUACUGGGCGUAAAGCGCGCGUAGGCGGCUUUGUAUGUCGAUUGUGAAAGCCCCGGGCUCAACCUGGGAACUGCAGUCGAAACUGCAAAGCUUGAAUGUUGGAGAGGUUGGGGGAAUACCUAGUGGAGAAGUGAAAUUCGUAGAGAUUAGGUGGAACACCAGAGGCGAAGGCGCCUGACUGGCCAAACAUUGACGCUGAGGCGCGAAAGCUAGGGGAGCAAACGGG
Molecule: ribosomal RNA, 253 nt
Filed under: uncultured bacterium
Lineage: Bacteria
Description: partial 16S ribosomal RNA
Rfam family: Bacterial small subunit ribosomal RNA
Source: RNAcentral